AAAGCGCACGCAGGCGGUCUGUUAAGUCAGAUGUGAAAUCCCCGGGCUUAACCUGGGAACUGCAUUUGAAACUGGCAGGCUUGAGUCUUGUAGAGGGGGGUAGAAUUCCAGGUGUAGCGGUGAAAUGCGUAGAGAUCUGGAGGAAUACCGGUGGCGAAGGCGGCCCCCUGGACAAAGACUGACGCUCAGGUGCGAAAGCGUGGGGAGCAAACAGGAUUAGAUACCCCUGU
This 230-nucleotide ribosomal RNA is filed under the name uncultured bacterium. RNAcentral describes it as "partial 16S ribosomal RNA". It matches the Rfam family "Bacterial small subunit ribosomal RNA", at positions 562 to 791 of the family's 1533-position model. The record is from RNAcentral.